Molecule: non-coding RNA, 23 nt
Filed under: Arabidopsis thaliana (thale cress)
Lineage: Eukaryota; Viridiplantae; Streptophyta; Magnoliopsida; Brassicales; Brassicaceae
Source: RNAcentral
ACGGCUGCGAAUAGGGUUUGAGC